GAGAAUAUAGCUCAGUUGUAGAGCACAUGCUUAGCAUGCACGAGGUCCUAGGUUCAAUCCCCAGUACCUUCA
RNAcentral lists this transfer RNA (72 nucleotides) under Camelus bactrianus (Bactrian camel). It matches the Rfam family "tRNA". From Rfam's summary of the family: Transfer RNA (tRNA) molecules are approximately 80 nucleotides in length. Their secondary structure includes four short double-helical elements and three loops (D, anti-codon, and T loops). Lineage: Eukaryota; Metazoa; Chordata; Mammalia; Artiodactyla; Camelidae. The record is from Rfam by way of RNAcentral. RNAcentral also lists the same sequence under 2 other names.